GCCAAAUUGUAUGUAAUGCCGCAAAUUUUACCUAAACCCGCCCAAAUUCAAGCUGACAAAAGCAAACCAACAAUACUAUAUCAAAGAAUUCGAACACAAGUCCUGGAGUAUAACACCACCGGUUCUCUCUCUAAUUGCUGAUAAGUUUCACCAUUGGUUGAUUACGAGCUAAGAAACUUAGCAAUUUACGGUGGUCAGUCAGUAUCCCGCUCAUCAACUCCCUGAUAAGCCAAAGUUCGCAUUGCAUCUGAGUUUAUUUCUUUAAUCAAUGGCUUCUACAGAUGAUGCUGAUGACAAGGCUAAGUCCCCGUCCUCGCCAAAAGUUGUCUACAAGGAUCCAGAUGAUGGUCGACAACGCUUUUUGCUUGAAUUGGAGUUUGUUCAGUGUCUUUCGAAUCCAACUUACAUCCAUUAUUUGGCACAGAAUCGCUACUUCGAAGACGAAGCUUUUGUUGGUUAUUUGAAUUACCUUCAAUAUUGGCAGCGACCGGAGUAUUUAAAAUUUAUAAUGUAUCCGCACUGCUUGUACUUUCUCGAGCUUUUACAAAAUGCAAACUUCCGCAAUGCAAUGGCUCAUCCUGGGAAUAAGGAAUUGGCACACAGACAACAGUUCUAUUUCUGGAAGAACUACAGAAACAACAGGUUGAAGCACAUUUUACCCAGACCCCUUCCUGAAUCUGCUCCUGAUCCUCCAGCUCCAACUGCUGCCCCAUUACGCCUUCCUCCGGCAAUUCCUCCCACGUCUGGGCCCUCUGUAGCCGUUCCUCCUAUGCAAUUUGCAAACGCUCCUGGGUCUGUUGUUGCAAAGAAUGAUACAAGGAAUAGUGGCAUUGAUCGAAGAAAGAGAAAGAAAGAUGGUUGAGUCCUUGCUGGAUAUGUCACUGGUGGAUCUAUUCUCCACUGUUUAAUUAAGGAAGCAUGAGUAUGGUUUCUGGUCGUCAAAGUUGUAGAUGUACCCAUGAACUUUCAUAAUUCUAUUGUACACUUGUGUGUACAUAGAAGAAGAGAUGCCAUAUGUUUUUCUAAGUGGUGCGUGCACAAUAUGCACCCCUAUGCCUGUCACACGUAGUGCCAUCUUAUGCCUGAUUUUCUGUUAUACGUACGUGGUGCGUGACUCACCACACUUGGUGUGUGUAUAUGAAAUCUUCUCCAUGGGAUGGCGGAUUGACGAUUGUGUUUUACAUACGGACCAAAAGACUCAUUUCAAAGUAGAUCUUGUCACUCCUUUCUCGCGCCACUUUUUUUCUAAAAGCACUCUUCUUUUCCAACAAGGCAAUUUAGGGUCAUCAAUAGACAAUGUCUAAUGAAUGGGUGGGUUCAUCUUCAUCAGUUCUAAAUCUUAAGAAGUAUCUUCUGCACUCAACGGAGGUAUCUUGCUAAGCCCACCUCAAUCUAUAGCUAUUGUGUGCUAUAGGCGAGAUUAUGGAUUAGCCGACACUAGUGAUCCAUCUGUUGUGAUUGUAGAUAAUGGGUUUUUGCAAUUAGGGUUCGGAUUUUAAUGGGAAUUAACUUAGAUGAGAAGAAAAAGGUAAUGCUGUUGUGUUAGGGAGGUGGUUAUGAUGUCAUCAGUUUUUAUUAGGUAUGAGAAUGUAGUCCCCGCUUUCUCCGAUCAUUGUUUUGCUAAAGAAGUUUCCAUUUCUUUGUAGGAUGUAUUUUUUAGGAACUAAUUAAGUUAAUGGAAGGAAAGAGACGAUAGUUGCAGAUACUAAUUUUAUCUUUAGUCAAUACUAAAUGUUGUCUAUGAGUGUGAUCGGGAGAGUUGUGUUUCAUGUCUGAAUAUUGCAACCUAUUUUGAAGAAAUGCUAUCCUAUCGGAUAGUUUGUGGGUAGAAAAAACCUCCACUGAAGUUGACUAUACAACAAGUCUUAAAAUAGAAAGGGAAAGAGUGAAAAACAGCAUAGAAUCUAUUAUAGAGGGUUCUCAUCAUCUCAUGUGAACGAUCAGAGAUUGCUCUAAUCGCAAAACUAUCCUAUCUAAAUACCUAUUCUUGUAGCUCAUUUGCUUUCUUCCAAGUUACCAUUUCAAGUGUAUUUGGGGUUAUCUAUAAUUUACCGAUGUGUUAUUGCAUUUUCCAUGUUGUACCUAUUGUUUUUUAAAGUUACACGUGGUACUCUUAAGUCCAUUAAGUUAGAAAUUUAC
RNA transcript from Spinacia oleracea (spinach), 2139 nucleotides. It is a transcript of the gene named mediator of RNA polymerase II transcription subunit 31-like, with no coding region annotated. The record is from RefSeq and is a predicted model, not a curated record. Lineage: Eukaryota; Viridiplantae; Streptophyta; Magnoliopsida; Caryophyllales; Amaranthaceae. The transcript has 8 exons.